Molecule: ribosomal RNA, 291 nt
Filed under: uncultured bacterium
Lineage: Bacteria
Description: partial 16S ribosomal RNA
Rfam family: Bacterial small subunit ribosomal RNA
Source: RNAcentral
CUUCGGAUUAAAGAAUUUAUUCGCUAUGGGAACGGCCUGCGUACGAUUAGGUAGUUGGUGAGGUAAUGGCUCACCAAGCCGACGAUCGUUAGCUGGUCUGAGAGGAUGAUCAGCCAGACUGGAACUGAGACACGGCCCAGACUCCUACGGGAGGCAGCAGUGGGGAAUUUUGGACAAUGGGCGAAAGCCUGAUCCAGCCAUUCCGCGUGCAGGAUGAAGGCCCUCGGGUUGUAAACUGCUUUUGUACGGAACGAAAAAGCUCCGGCUAAUACCUGGAGUCCAUGACGGUAC